GACGAACGCUGGCGGCGUGCUUAACACAUGCAAGUCGAACGGUAAGGCCUUCGGGUACACGAGUGGCGAACGGGUGAGUAACACGUGGGUGAUCUGCCCUGCACUUCGGGAUAAGCCUGGGAAACUGGGUCUAAUACCGGAUAGGACUCUGGAGUUCAUGCUCUGGGGUGGAAAGCUUUUGCGGUGUGGGAUGGGCCCGCGGCCUAUCAGCUUGUUGGUGGGGUAAUGGCCUACCAAGGCGACGACGGGU
RNAcentral lists this ribosomal RNA (250 nucleotides) under uncultured bacterium. Its description in RNAcentral is "partial 16S ribosomal RNA". It matches the Rfam family "Bacterial small subunit ribosomal RNA", at positions 28 to 284 of the family's 1533-position model. The record is from RNAcentral.